CAUUUGAAUCGAAUUAUAAACGAAGUCAAACGUACUUUGAUUGAAGGGAAAUCAUCGAAGAUAAACAGUUCAAUUGGUAGGAUAUAUAUUCUUUACUUAGUUUGCUCGAAUACAAUAGCCAUUUAUUUUGGGCGAUAUACGUAAUUUAAUUAAUAAAAGAAAGUCAUUAUUGAUUAUUAUUUUAAUCAAUAUAUUUUAUCAAUUCAAUUUGAAUUCAACGGUCGUUGCUAUUAUAAUAUCCAUAUAUAAUCACAUAGCAGUAUUUAUAUGUAUGUGUAAACAUGGCGGCAUUACGAGGAAGAUUCUUUACUGUUGUGAAUACAUUUUCAUUUUUCACCGAGAAAAAGUCAUUAAAUUUUAAGAAAUAUGUGUUAAUAGUGCGCACAACGAUAGGAAGAACUUUUUCAGUAAAAACAAUUAAAGAUAUCGAGGAAAGGAAGGUCAAUGUCAAUGGGUUUGAUAUUAAUUAUGUUAGAGUCGGGAUUGGUAAUCAUCCUGUUCUCCUAUUACCUGGUGCCCUAGGAACUGCUUGGACUGACUUCAAACCUCAACUAGAAAAUCUUGAUAAAAACAAGUUGACUGUAGUAGCAUGGGAUCCACCUGGAUAUGGAAAAUCGAGACCACCGAACAAAACAUAUUCAGAUGAUUUUUUGCAACGUGAUGCCGAUUAUGCUUUUGAUUUAAUGAAAGUUCUAGGAUAUAAGAAAUUCUCUUUGAUUGGAUGGAGCGAUGGUGGUAUCACGUCUCUUAUACUUGCUGCCAAAAAUCCUGAUAGCAUUCGUAAAAUGAUCGUAUUUGGUGCGAAUGCUUACAUUCUUCCCGAAGAACUCCAAAUUUAUAAAAGCAUUAAAAACAUCGACACUUGGUCGGAUAAAAUGAAACAACCAUUGAUUGAAGUUUAUGGUGAAGAGUAUUUUAGAAAUACUUGGUCCGAUUGGGUAGAUGGUAUGGAAAGAAUAUAUGAAAAAAACAAGGGUGAUUUAUGUAAAAAUGUGUUGGCUAAAAUAAAGUGUCCUACUUUAAUCAUACAUGGAGCAAAAGAUGUAAUAGUAAAGCCAGAACAUCCAGUUUAUUUAAAAGAUCAUAUAAAAAAUUCUGAGGUAAUAAUACUUGAAAAAGGAGCUCAUAAUUUACACUUAAGAUAUCACGAGGAAUUUAAUACAUUGGCCAUGAAGUUCUUAACAGAAGAUUGAAACAUUUUUUAAGUUUCUUAUUUUCUUAAUAAGAGUAAAUUAAGUUGGUAGAAAAAUAUCGGACGAUGUCACUUGCGAGUUUGCAGUUGAUGAGAGAGAGAGAGAGAAAGAGUCCAACGAAUUCAACGAGCUAAUAACGAAGUUCCUCUCGGGGCCAGUCAUAGAUCGACUAGUAGCUAUUUUUGUCGUAUGAAUAACACUUAAGAAUUCUCUCCAUCUUUGUGUUCUCAAAUUAUCGUUCGUACUUGUAAAAAUAUAAAGGGAGGGAAGUUACGAGCUUUCAAAGAUGACGAAGAAACGUCUUCAGAGUUUUUACCACUUUCUUUUUAUAUUGCUUUUUUACAUACGAUCUGUCCUAUAAAGUUCCUAAUGAAGUUUAACUAGUAUAACGCGCAUAGCUUAAUGAAUUCCGUCUACAGAUUGAAUAAUUAAUCUCUCCCUUCUUUGUUGUACCAGUUAUGCUCGGCUCUCUCAUUAGUUUCGCUUUAAGCUUAUAAUAUGUUUGACGUGAAUUCUCGUUAAAUAAUAUUUAGUAUGCACCGUAUAUUUAGUCCCUCGUUAAUAAUAUUUACUAUGACGUUAGGUAAA
Vespa mandarinia (Asian giant hornet) is the source of this 1781-nucleotide unclassified non-coding RNA. Lineage: Eukaryota; Metazoa; Arthropoda; Insecta; Hymenoptera; Vespidae. The record is from RefSeq and is a predicted model, not a curated record.